RNAcentral lists this ribosomal RNA (477 nucleotides) under uncultured bacterium. RNAcentral describes it as "bacterial SSU rRNA". It matches the Rfam family "Bacterial small subunit ribosomal RNA", at positions 335 to 796 of the family's 1533-position model. The record is from RNAcentral.
ACUCCUACGGGAGGCAGCAGUGGGGAAUAUUGCACAAUGGGCGCAAGCCUGAUGCAGCCAUGCCGCGUGUAUGAAGAAGGCCUUCGGGUUGUAAAGUACUUUCAGCAGUGAGGAAGGUGGGUAUGUUAAUAGCAUACUCAUUUGACGUUAGCUGCAGAAGAAGCACCGGCUAACUCCGUGCCAGCAGCCGCGGUAAUACGGAGGGUGCGAGCGUUAAUCGGAAUUACUGGGCGUAAAGCGCAUGCAGGUGGUUUGUUAAGUCAGAUGUAAAAGCCCGGGGCUCAACCUCGGAAUUGCAUUUGAAACUGGCAAACUAGAGUACUGUAGAGGGGGGUAGAAGUUUCAGGUGUAGCGGUGAAAUGCGUAGAGAUCUGAAGGAAUACCGGUGGCGAAGGCGGCCCCCCUGGGAACAGAGUACUGAACACUCAGAUGCGAAAGCGUGGGGAGCAAACAGGAUUAGAUACCCUGGUAGCGUCU